Small nuclear RNA from Echinops telfairi (small Madagascar hedgehog), 107 nucleotides. Lineage: Eukaryota; Metazoa; Chordata; Mammalia; Afrosoricida; Tenrecidae. The record is from RefSeq and is a predicted model, not a curated record.
GUUCUGCUUUGGCAGAACAUAUACUAAAAGUGGAACCAAUACAGAGAAGAUUUGUAUGGCCCCUGUGCAAGGAUGACAUGUGAAUUUGUGAGGUGUUCCAUAUUUAU